This 235-nucleotide unclassified non-coding RNA is filed under the name plant metagenome. RNAcentral's name for it is "partial contains small subunit ribosomal RNA and internal transcribed spacer 1". The stretch from base 1 to 46 matches the Rfam family "Eukaryotic small subunit ribosomal RNA", at positions 1786 to 1831 of the family's 1831-position model. The record is from RNAcentral.
AAGUCGUAACAAGGUUUCCGUAGGUGAACCUGCGGAAGGAUCAUUAAUGUAACCGGACCUUACGGGUGCCGUAAAACGCAUUCGUUCGGAAAGGGAGAUAUCAUACACCCUGUGUUUAUUUACCUUUGUUGCUUUGGCGGGCCGUCCUUUUAGGCGUCGGCCCCGGCUGAUCGCGCCCGCCAGAGGACCCAAACUCUUUUAUCAGUGAUGUCUGAGUACUAUAUAAUAGUUAAAA